This 443-nucleotide ribosomal RNA is filed under the name uncultured bacterium. RNAcentral describes it as "partial 16S ribosomal RNA". It matches the Rfam family "Bacterial small subunit ribosomal RNA", at positions 338 to 795 of the family's 1533-position model. The record is from RNAcentral.
CCUACGGGUGGCAGCAGUGGGGAAUAUUGGGCAAUGGGCGCAAGCCUGACCCAGCAACGCCGCGUGAAGGAAGAAGGCUUUCGGGUUGUAAACUUCUUUUCUCAGGGACGAAGAAAGUGACGGUACAUGAGGAAUAAGCCACGGCUAACUACGUGCCAGCAGACGCGGUAAUACGUAGGUGGCAAGCGUGAUCCGGAUUGAUUGGGUGUAAGGGGCGUGUAGGAGGGAGCGCAAGUCAGAUGUGAAAACUGAGGGCUCAACCCUGAGCCUGCAUUUGAAACUGUGUUUCUUGAGUGCUGGAGAGGCAAUCGGAAUUCCGUGGGUAGCGGUGAAAUGCGUAGAUAUACGGAGGAACACCAGUGGCGAAGGCGGAUUGCUGGACAGUAACUGACGCUGAGGCGCGAAAGCGUGGGGAGCAAACAGGAUUAGAUACCCCAGUAGUC